ACUGGGCACGAUGACACGUGUCUGUAGUCCCAGCUACUCAGGAGGCUAAGGCUGGAGGAUUGCAUGAGCCCAAGAGUUCUGGGCUGUAGUGCGCUAUGCCAAUCGGUGUCUGUACUAAGUUCGGCAUCAAUAUGGUGACCUCCUAGGAGUAGGGGACCACCAGGUUGCCUAAGGAGGGUUAAAUAGGCCCAGGUUGGAAAAGGAACAGGUCAAAACUCCCAUGCUGAUCAGUAGCAGAUUGCACCUGUGAAUAGCCACUGCACUCCAGCCUGGGCAACACAGCAAGACCCCACCCC
Callithrix jacchus (white-tufted-ear marmoset) is the source of this 296-nucleotide unclassified non-coding RNA. It matches the Rfam family "Metazoan signal recognition particle RNA". Rfam says of the family: The signal recognition particle (SRP) is a universally conserved ribonucleoprotein. It is involved in the co-translational targeting of proteins to membranes. The eukaryotic SRP consists of a 300-nucleotide 7S RNA and six proteins: SRPs 72, 68, 54, 19, 14, and 9. Lineage: Eukaryota; Metazoa; Chordata; Mammalia; Primates; Cebidae. The record is from Ensembl.